This 148-nucleotide signal recognition particle RNA is filed under the name Macaca mulatta (Rhesus monkey). RNAcentral describes it as "Metazoan signal recognition particle RNA (ENSMMUG00000058702.1)". It matches the Rfam family "Metazoan signal recognition particle RNA". From Rfam's summary of the family: The signal recognition particle (SRP) is a universally conserved ribonucleoprotein. Lineage: Eukaryota; Metazoa; Chordata; Mammalia; Primates; Cercopithecidae. The record is from Rfam by way of RNAcentral.
GCUGGGCGUGGUGGUGCACGCCUGUAAUCCCAGCUACUCAGGAGGCUGAGGCAGGAGAAUCGCUUGAACCCAGGAGGUGGAGGUUGCAGUGAGCUGAGAUCACACCACUGCACCCCAGCCUGAGUGACAGAGCGAGACUCUGUCUCAG